AGAUCAUGGAUGGGGCUGGUCAUAGUGAUGAAGCAGGGCCUGCAGUACCUCCACCUGAAGUUCCCUAGGAUGCUGAUCAUCUUCUCCUCCUCCUCAGUCUUCCAGUGGAGGUCUGUCAACCCAAGACAGUUAAAUAAAUAAAAGUUAAAAAGUAUAUUUGAGACCCUUAGACCCACUAUCAGGAGCAAUAAAGCAGCUGUAACUAACUACAAUAUAUGUUACAGGAGCUUGCUCAUUAGCUUGGCUAUUACAACUUACAUGUGGCUCACGUCCAGUUUGUCAGGAAACAAUCACAAACCAGUAGUUUCACUGACUGUACGCCAGAUCUUAUAAUACGUUUAAGGCCUCUCUACGUCUUUACGGUGGGUGAAUUUUAAGACCAAUCAGAGGCGGUUGCUAGGCAGACCAGAACCGGUCGACCAAUCAGCGUUUUUCUGCCAAUGUUAGCCGACGUAUGCCACGAUGUGUCUCGUCAUUGGCCAGAACCUUCUGAGGGGGUGGGGGCUGAGAGGCGGAGAAACGAAGUCGGAAAACAGAUUUAAACCAAGUUUGAAGAGUUGCUUCCGUUUGCCAGUACUGUGAGAAAACGUCGUUGCUAGAGAGGUCUGGACGCUAAAAGAAAUUCUGUGGCUGUUUUUUGUCGUUAAUGAAGAGGUCUGGAUGCUAAAACAAACUCUGAAGCUGUUUUUUUGUCAAACACGAGUGAGACUGGAAACUGAGCACACCUGCGCCGUGAAGUGUCACCACUUCGUCCAUGAUCAGAGUAUCUUCAUACAAUGAAGAAGUUCUUUGAAACCAGGACUGAGUCGUUCAGGAUUCAAACUUGAACCAUUAAAUCACAGAGAGAAGAGACAGACGUGAAGACAUUUCCAGAAGGUCUUCAGCUGCUGUCAUCCUCUCCUGAAGAGACAAGAACACGUGUUAAUCACAGAAAUUGAUGAGUAAAUCAAAAACAUUUUUAUGACAUUUUUUUGAUGUUUUUAUGCCUUACUGUUAUGAUGAUUUCAGUUGGUUUUUGACACCUUACUAUACUGUGACAUGCGACUUAAGACAAAGGAACUAUCCUGAAGUAGCCAUCUUACCUUUGUUUUCCACAGACACAGGUUAGAUUUUAAUAUUGUGUAUAAUUUUUAUAUCUUGCCUUGUAUAUAUAAUGCCGUUUUCUUUUUUUGCUGUUGCAACACUGAAUUUCCCCAUUGUAGGACUGGUGAAGGUCUAUCUUACUCAAAUAAAUACUUCUGA
This is a long non-coding RNA of Lates calcarifer (barramundi perch), 1242 nucleotides long. RefSeq lists it as uncharacterized. The transcript is spliced from 4 exons. NCBI's taxonomy places the organism in Eukaryota, Metazoa, Chordata, Actinopteri, Centropomidae. The record is from RefSeq and is a predicted model, not a curated record.